GCACUUGAAGCAACCUCCAUCAUUUCCUCGACACUUACCGAAAUGUCGUCUGCCACAUUGUGGACACUCCGGUCUAUUCGGUCGAGUACUACCCAUGCUUGCCACAGAAGUGGUUUGAGCUUUAGACGUCGUGUACUGUUGGUUCUUGUUUCUACUUGAGAACCCUACCGAUAUAUUUGAUCGGGUGGUAAACUCUCUUGAUCUCUUGGAUGAUGUCUG
This 219-nucleotide long non-coding RNA is filed under the name Gossypium barbadense (sea-island cotton). RNAcentral's name for it is "long non-coding RNA (GBAR_LNC007054)". The record is from RNAcentral. Lineage: Eukaryota; Viridiplantae; Streptophyta; Magnoliopsida; Malvales; Malvaceae.